UGGGCGUAAGGGCUCGCAGGCGGUUUCUUAAGUCUGAUGUGAAAGCCCCCGGCUCAACCGGGGAGGGUCAUUGGAAACUGGGAAACUUGAGUGCAGAAGAGGAGAGUGGAAUUCCACGUGUAGCGGUGAAAUGCGUAGAGAUGUGGAGGAACACCAGUGGCGAAGGCGACUCUCUGGUCUGUAACUGACGCUGAGGAGCGAAAGCGUGGGGAGCGAACAGGAUUAGAUACCCUGGUAGUCCACGCCGUAAACGAUGAGUGCUAAGUGUUAGGGGGUUUCCGCCCCUUAUUGCUGCAGCUAACGCAUUAUGCACUCCGCCCGGGGAGUACG
This 330-nucleotide ribosomal RNA is filed under the name Bacillus subtilis. RNAcentral's name for it is "bacterial SSU rRNA". It matches the Rfam family "Bacterial small subunit ribosomal RNA", at positions 555 to 884 of the family's 1533-position model. The record is from RNAcentral. Lineage: Bacteria; Bacillati; Bacillota; Bacilli; Caryophanales; Bacillaceae.